This 303-nucleotide ribosomal RNA is filed under the name uncultured bacterium. RNAcentral describes it as "partial 16S ribosomal RNA". It matches the Rfam family "Bacterial small subunit ribosomal RNA", at positions 507 to 807 of the family's 1533-position model. The record is from RNAcentral.
AGCAGUCGCCGCGGGAACACGAAGGGGGCUAGCGUUGUUCGGAAUUACUGGGCGUAAAGCGCACGUAGGCGGAUCGAUCAGUCAGGGGUGAAAUCCCAGGGCUCAACCCUGGAACUGCCUUUGAUACUGUCGAUCUGGAGUAUGGAAGAGGUGAGUGGAAUUCCGAGUGUAGAGGUGAAAUUCGUAGAUAUUCGGAGGAACACCAGUGGCGAAGGCGGCUCACUGGUCCAUUACUGACGCUGAGGUGCGAAAGCGUGGGGAGCAAACAGGAUUAGAUACCCCGGUAGUCCCUGUCUCUUAUAC